This 158-nucleotide ribosomal RNA is filed under the name Phialophora sp. 1 CRG-2011. Its description in RNAcentral is "5.8S ribosomal RNA". It matches the Rfam family "5.8S ribosomal RNA". Rfam says of the family: 5.8S ribosomal RNA (5.8S rRNA) is a component of the large subunit of the eukaryotic ribosome. It is transcribed by RNA polymerase I as part of the 45S precursor that also contains 18S and 28S rRNA. Functionally, it is thought that 5.8S rRNA may be involved in ribosome translocation. The record is from RNAcentral. Lineage: Eukaryota; Fungi; Ascomycota; Eurotiomycetes; Chaetothyriales; Herpotrichiellaceae. RNAcentral also lists the same sequence under 1 other name.
AAAACUUUCAACAACGGAUCUCUUGGUUCUGGCAUCGAUGAAGAACGCAGCGAAAUGCGAUACGUAAUGUGAAUUGCAGAUUUCAGUGAAUCAUCGAAUCUUUGAACGCACAUUGCGCCCGCCAGUAUUCUGGCGGGCAUGCCUGUUCGAGCGUCAUU